Populus nigra (black poplar) is the source of this 591-nucleotide long non-coding RNA. RefSeq lists it as uncharacterized. Lineage: Eukaryota; Viridiplantae; Streptophyta; Magnoliopsida; Malpighiales; Salicaceae. The record is from RefSeq and is a predicted model, not a curated record. The transcript is spliced from 2 exons.
AACCGAAAAUAUUCACUCCUAUCUCUUUCCUAUCUGGUCAAAGUCAAGAAAGCUACGUAUCACCCAAUAAAAUUCAUGUGUUUCCAGGCGCACAAUAUUCCUAUGGAUCAUCAACCCCCCCCACCAUCCCACCCCGCAUGGCUUCAAGUCGUGGGAGUAUAAGCUUGACAACAACAUCAACAUCCAUUUCUUCAAAAACCCAAUUUGUUAUUGCUCCGAAAACCAAUCCUUUUGUCUUAGAUUCUUGUUGUGCUGCACAAAAGAAGCUCCUUUUCUGUUCGAGCUAUGGGUUUUUCUUCUUCACAGAAACCUGACAACAUUCAAGGAGCCCCAUUUUCAGCUGCAGACAGAUGAGAUCCAGUAUCCUCAUAGGACUUGAGACCUUCUCAAAGAAUGGCGAUUGGAAGGUGGAACAGUGGACUAAUAGAUAUCAUCAUCGUUCAUUUAUGGUGGAGCUGAGAACUGUGGAAUCUGCAGAUGAUUAGUGGCUUCAGCACCAUAAGCAAAAAUCAGAAUAAUCAUCUGCCUAUAUCAUUUUAAUAUGUAACUGUGUUGUGAUAUCAAGAAAUACAACAAAAUGAAUUCAAAUCA